RNAcentral lists this ribosomal RNA (1170 nucleotides) under Triticum aestivum (bread wheat). RNAcentral describes it as "partial small subunit ribosomal RNA". The record is from RNAcentral. Lineage: Eukaryota; Viridiplantae; Streptophyta; Magnoliopsida; Poales; Poaceae.
AUGGAGGUCAUGACUGGAAAAGGCGGCGCCAAGCCCGUCCCCAACUAUCUUCGGCCAUCGACCGGGUCGUGCCACGAUGCGUGCAAGCACGGCGGCCAUCACGCGUUCGUGGAGAAACAGGAAGCUCCAAGGACCCAACCCAAACCCCGGAAGAAGCAGCAGCCAUCAGCUUCGGAUGACCAGAACCAAAAGAGAAGGCUGGUCAAGGUACGGUCGGUGUCACGUAGGCGUGUCGUAGAUUUCAGCAAACCCGACAAGGCCGAUACGCCGGCCGGUGGGAGCGAGAUUGUUGUUGAGUGGAAGGACAUCGUGGCCUAUGACGCAGUGCCAGCUCCUGCUCCUGCCGAUGGACCAUCUCAUCAACAACCUGAUGGGAGGAAGAAGAAGAGGGAUGUGAUGAAGGGGAAAACACCAUUUGCCAAGACCACCCAUCCGGAGACUCCUGUCAAGAACCCAACCGAAUCACUGAACAAGAGGCUGGCUAAGACCGUCAGGUCGACGCUCACCGGGAAGGCCUCCAUCAAGAAGCCUCAAGCCGCCGCUGACAAGAAGGAGGCUGGCAAGAGAACAGAGAGUGUAAAGCCACCGAAAGCGAAGAAACCCAUGACACUGCCCGUCGAAAACAAGGAAAUUGUCCAGGGUGACACAACUGGUGAUGUUAAGCAGGGGAAGUCACUCUACACUCCUGACCAAGAAGAGCGUGCUGCCAUUGCUGAAUCAAGCAGGGCACAUCGGAGGGCCAAGAGCAUGAGCAUCAGCAGCCGAUCGGUGCGCUUCCCGUUCACCCGACAAGCGACCAAUAACUCGGCCACCUUCAAGCUGCGCUCCAAGAGCAGCACGGCACCCGUCCUCCCAUCCGAACAAGAGAAGCCCACGCGGCUCAGGUUCAGAAAGGGGAGAGCAGCCGGCGAGGAGUCCAGCGGCGGCAUCCAGCUCAGGGCCAGGAGCCUGCGGAGGCGAGGGAGCGGCCUGUCCGGCGGCGCACACGCGGGCUUCGUGGUGCCGGAGUUGACGCUGAGGCACCAAAAGACGCUGGAGAGGAAGAAGAGCCGGAGGCUGUCUAACAACCUGAUCGAGGAGACGGCGAGCAAGCUGGCCAAGAGCAGGAGGAGCAGGGUCAAGUCCCUGGUUGGGGCUUUUGAAUCUCUCAUCUCCAAGAUUGGAAAGUAG